This 651-nucleotide long non-coding RNA is filed under the name Ananas comosus (pineapple). RNAcentral's name for it is "long non-coding RNA (ACOM_LNC018140)". The record is from RNAcentral. Lineage: Eukaryota; Viridiplantae; Streptophyta; Magnoliopsida; Poales; Bromeliaceae.
CUUAUAUAGUUUGUUUUAUAGCCUCGCUUCUUUGAUCCCGUCUAUGCCUUGCCGAUUCGAUCCCGUCUACGCCCUGCCGCUUCGAUCCCGCUCCUGACUCUUCGAUCCCAUCUACGAUCCCAUCUGUUGCCUCUAAUGCCCCGGACGAUUCCGUCCGUCUCUUUGAUCCUGUCCCCGUCCAUUCAAUCCCUUUGAUCCCUUUGAUCCCUUUUGUUGCCGAUUUGGUUUGCUUUCAUCGCCGCCUUGAUUUUGUGACUGUGUUGCUUACGAAGGAUUUCUUCAUGCCGUUUACAUUACUUCAGAGUCUAUAUAAUGAGGCUUGGAUGGUUUCCCUCUAUGCUGCCGAAAUCAUUUUCUCCUGUAAGCGAAAAUUUAGCGGCACUUAAUCUGACAAUACACUGGUGGAUCUGAAUCAUUUGGUUCUCCCGAUUUCAUGCUUGCUAGUGUUCGGUUCGUUAACCGCCCUAAUGCUAUCUACCCUUUUUGCCCCACGCAAGACUGUCCAGUAUAUAAAACCUCCCGUCUUUUCUUCCUACUUUUUUGCUCCCCUUAGGCUCGCUGGUGUUCGGCUCGUUGAUAACAUUUAUUACUAUCUACCUAGGGGUGUAAUGCGGGCAGCGCUAGGCUAACACGGUCCGCAUCAGCAGGGCG